GUCAGUGUGUAAAGAACCUCCUUAAUUUUAAUUUGUUUUUUCUGUGUAAGGAAGGUUUUUGCCUCUCAUUAGAAAAAGUCAGCUUUCUAAUGCACAGUCUUUGGAGAAGGUGCCAGACAUUGCAAAACAAAAAGGGGGCUACUUCUUGGAAAUUCAGGACCCUGCCUGGCCUGAGAAACUUGUCUGACAUAGAGAAGGCCUCUUUGUUUGGCACUGCUGUAGUUUAGGAGCAGGGCCACAGAUUUCAAAGGAGUAAAGGGAUUCCCAUCCCUUCGGAGGCCCAGGAGCAGGGCCACUUCCCCGGGGAAACUCACUGUAAUGCACCACUUAAUGUUUCAGUGCAGGCCUGCUAGGGUCAGACAGACUGACCAGUCCGAAGUGAUGGUACCUCCCUCUACCUUCUGCUAAAUUAUGGCUUCACAUAUUUAAAGAGGAAGCUUGAUGGAUAGAUAGGCCUGGGAAUCUUCAUUCCCGUCUCUUGGGAGCCAUGAUGGUGCCACUGUUAGGACCAUUUGCUAUUUGAAGCUCAUGUAUAGAAAGCAUUUAACGAACCCUGGCAUUUAGGAAAUUGUGUAGAGUAAAAUCAUGAUAAUGAAAAAAAAUUUAAAAGGAAACGAUGGGAUUUGCCCUUUUCUGGUGUUUGAAGUUGCUCAGAGAAUUCUGUUUGUGGGAAUUUGAGAAGGACAAAUGUUGGUGAGUGCACUAGAGAAUUAAGACAAAUGAUAAUGAAAGAGAUGACAAAAGCUAGUGGUUUCUAUGGGGAAAUAAUCACGAAUCACUGUCAGGCUGAUUCCAAUAAGAACAUUGCUUUAUGUGAAAUGUUUUUUAAACAGCUCAAUCAAAGCAUUAAGCCAGAGCAUUUCUCAGGGCCUCUAUCUGCUGAAUGUGCCACUGCAUUUCCACCUGAGAUUCCUCACCCUGAGAAAUAUCGGACUGCAAGAAUUUGUGGAUCAGUAAGUCUGCCUGUUCAACCUUCGCUGGGCAUGAACAGCUAUAGGAGAGACCAUCUUCUGAGCAAGGUGCCCCCCAGGGCAGACUGGCUACAGAAUUUUCAGAGCCUCUGGUAAAGUGAAAAUACAGCGUCUCCUGUUCAAAAUUACUGAGAGUUUCAAGGCUGUGUCAGCAGAGUAAUAAACCAAGCAUGCCCCUGCUGAGCCUGCACUGGCAGCACACCUGGGAAACCAACCCUGCCCAUGGACCCCGAGAGAAAGGCAGCCUGCAAGCAGCCAGGGAUGUGCUUCCAGUCCAGGGGGGCCGUGUGGCGCUCAGCAUGGCAAGGGUGCACAGUCUGCUGGGGUGUGGAGACAGGGGUCUCUAGGACUCUGCAAAGAUAAGAGUCCAAUGCUGCCUAAACUGGGACAACACUGUCACAUCCGCAGGGUUUGUACUCAUCUCAGACCUUCACAUGACCCCUCCCCGCUUUCUCCAUGUUUUUAUUUUAGCCCCGAGUCACCCAAGCCACCCCAUCUAAGGGCAAUCAGCCCGAUUUGUACUAAUGCAUCUCAUGGGAAGCCUGUGUAGGAGUUUCCUUUUGGGGUGACAGUUCCUGCCACAGUAGGUGCCUGGGAAGCAAAGUAUAUGCAUAGAUUUUCCUCUUGUUCCCCGAACCCUCCUUUGCUUCCAUCACCUGAAAUGGGCUCUUGCGGGCCCUUCCUGACCACUCUGCAGGAACCCGAGAGUCUUCCCUAACACUAGAUAUUUGCCCUGCCAGCUUCUCCUGCUCCCUCAGUCCUUCCCCAUCCUAUUGGUGGAGCUGUCCCUUCCCC
Molecule: long non-coding RNA, 1766 nt
Organism: Fukomys damarensis (Damara mole-rat)
Lineage: Eukaryota; Metazoa; Chordata; Mammalia; Rodentia; Bathyergidae
Source: Ensembl